UCUGUCUUCAUGUUGUUGUACAAGGUAUCAUUAUCGAUGCCAAUUUUUUUAACGAAAUUUGCUGCUAAAUUGAGCUUGAGCUUCUCGGACUCGUGGAGGGUGGGAUCAUCGUGGUGGAGUGGGCCAAUUGAGAUCACUUUCGGCUUGAAAUAUUUCCGGAAAUCUUCGUCACGGCGAAGGGUUGCUGGGACUCUUUUGUCAAUAGUUUGGCUUUGGGGUCGAGAUGGUCCCCUUCGAAAGCUUCGUCUAAUGACCAGCAAUUCCGUGAUUCGCCAUUGCUGUGAGUGAAGUCUGUACCCGGUAUUGGAAUGAUCGUCUCUAGGGGAUUGUUGUUCGUGUUGUUAUUGAUGACUGUUUGAUCAGUGGAAACUACUCCACCGGGAGCUCUGACGGCGCCGCCUCCUUCUGUAACACCCCUAUACCAUGUUUGACUUAAGGAACCUAAUAUAAGAAUAUUACAUUUGAUGCCAAAGUAAUUCUUGGCUAAUUACUAUUAUAUUUGAACAUAAAAACAGACAAAUAAUAAAUUUAAAUAAUUUAUAUUUAAAUCCAUUACUACUACUUGGGACAUAAUUUUUUUUAAGUACAUGCCAUUCUAUUCAAAAUUUUAAAACAUACCCGUUGUUGCUUGAAGAUGUGAUGAGAUGAAAGCUUACAAUCUCAAAUUCGACUCUCAAAAAUUUAUGUACCUAAUUUGCGCAAGGAAACAAAUCGUACAAUGAGUAUACACCCAGUGUUAUUACUAUAAUUCAAAUACUUAAGGUAAAAACAAUAUAUAUACACAUUAAAUCUUACCACUAUUUUACCUUCAAUAAAUCAUUCAUGCAUUUAAACUUUAAAUUUAUUCUAAUAAUAUGUAUCUUAAAUAGCUUUUCUUUAUUUUAAUUUAUAUAUCUACUUAUUAUAUCAAUAUUCAUUUCAUGCAUUUCAUCAAUAACCAUUUCAUAAAACUAUUAUUUCAUAUAUUUCAUUUCUAUAUCCUAAUUCAAUAAUUUAUUCUAUUCCAUAUCUAAAACCUUACAACAUUAGUCUUUCAAUAAUUAUUUAAACCAACAUUUUUCAAUAAAAAUAAUUAUAAUUAAUUCAUAAGAUUAUAUCCAACUAACUCAUACACUAUUUCAUUAUUUCCUAUUCAUUCUAUUUUCACUUCUUAUUUCGAUAUCUCAAUUUCAAUUCACAUUUCAAUUCAUAAUUUCACUUUCUCAUACUUUCAAUAGCUCAAUCCAUCAAUUCAUUUGAUUUUUUCAUUUCAUUUAUUCAACUGAUUUCAAAAUCAAUAAUUCGAUAUUUUAGCAAAUUCAUGAACCUUAUGUUCAUGCUUCAAAUCUCGCAUCUUAAUGCCGUUCACAAUUCAACUCAUAAUUUCUUUCUCAUAUCUCUAAAAGUACGAUCAAUCAAAUUUAUUUAAUUUUCUCAUUUCAGUUAUUCACCUUAUUAACAAACCCGGACUUUGACGGAUACACGAAUUCCAACCCAAACACACCAGUACGGCAUAUUGUGCCUAAAACGGUACAUAGUACCUGAUCAGUAUACGACACAUAAGUGCCUGAAAUGACACACGAGGUGCCUAAUAUGACACACGAGGUGCCUGAAAUACGCAAAGCCGAUAUAUCCCGGACUCUUAUAAAUCCUAUGGCAUGCCAAUUAUAUCCGACUCAGCCCGACUAGAUAAUAGGGUAUUUCAAUUCUCAAUUCACUUUCAUUUCCAAUUCAAUAUCACUUUUCAAUUACAAUUUCUCAUUCAAAUCAAUAUACAAUUCAAUUGUACAUACACAUUCAUCAUUCAAUUCAAUUCUCAUUCAUUUCAAAAUCAAUUUUUCACUUUCUAAUCAAUAAACAAUUCAAUACCAAUACAUAUUUCAGAUAAUCACAUAUAAUCAUAUUUCGAUUCAAUUCAAACCACUUUUCAAUCAAUACACAAUUCACAUAUUCACACAUAUUCAUAAAUUAAUUCACUUUUAUUUAAUUCAUAUUUUUAAUUCAUUUUCCAAUCAAAUUCAAAUCACUAAUUACUUUUCAAUCAAUAUACAUUUCAAAUACUCACAUAUUUUCUUCAUUCAAUUCAAUUUGAUUCAAUUAAAAUCACUUUUAGUUUCCAAUCAAUAUAAUUUCAAAUAUUCACAUAAUUCGUAAUUCAAUUACUUAAAUCACUUUUAAUUUCCAAUUUGUUCACAUUCAAUUUCAAUAGCCAUAAACAUUUUUGAAUCAAUUUCAUUCAAAUCAAUAUCAUCAUUUCAAUUGCUUACCUAAUUUUAUUUGCCAUGCAUUUUAAUUCAAAUAUAACAAUUAAUAAUAAAUAGAUUUGAAUUAUAGUAGUACAAACCCGGAUUUGUUCGAUUACUCCUCGAUAACGUUUCCUUUCUUUUCGGUGCCGAUGCCUCGAUUUCUUUGGUAACUACAAAAAUAAUAAUAAUAAUUUACACUUAUUAAUAACAGCACUAAUUUAUAAUAAUGAUUGAAUUUCUAUUCAAUUUAUAUCCUAAUUCCAAUUUAAUCCUAAUUAACUCAUUUACUUUUAUAAUUCAAUUCAUACUUCAUUUCGAUUCAAUUUCCUUCCAUAUUUCACUUAACUAUCUAAUGUUCAUAAUAAAAUUAUAAUUUAAAAUUUCUUUCAAUUUAGUCCUUUCAACACAAAACUUAUAGCUUCUUUUACAAUUCAAUCCCUUACCAAAUAUAACUUGAAAUUCAUUCAAUUAAAUCCCUAAUUCAUCUUUUUGUUCAACAUGAACUAUACUUAUAAACCUAUGAACUUUCAAAGUAUCAACUUAAUUUCAUCAAAACCUUGUUCUAAAGCUUGUAAAACAUCAAAAUUAAGUAAAAAUGACUUAAUUGACUUACCUAUUAAAGUUUUAACCUUCAAACCCUAGUUUUUCCCCAUUUUCUUUUCUUUCCCUUUUCUUUCUUCUUGUUUUCGAAUGGCUUCUGCUAUUCUUUCUUUUGCUUUCUUUCUUUAUUUCAUUUCAUUUAUAUAUAUAUAUAUAAUAUUAGUUAAUAAUGAUAAUAAUGAUAAUAAUAAUUAUAAUAAAUAUCUUUUAAUAACACAUAUUUACAUUACAUUUGUCACCACUUAAUUUGUUUAUCGUACACAAAAAUCUUAUAAUAUAAUUAUUUAAUUAAUAACUAUCUUUUACUUAAUUUUCAAGUAAAUAAAUAAAUAUAAUACAAAUGUAUAUAUUUACAUUAUUUCAAUUGUCACUAUCCAAUUUUUUUAUUAGUUAUCUAAUAAAUAUCUUUUACUUAGUAAUAAUAAAUAAUAAAUAUCUAUUUACUAAUUAAAUAUAAGUAUUACAAAUGUACAUAUAUUUUUUUUACAAGUGUACAAUAUCAUCACCACCCAUUUGGCAAAAUUUUGAUUUAUUCAUAUAAUAUAAUAUAAUAUUUUUAAUUUAUAACUAAUAUAAAUUGCCAUAUAAUAAAAUAAUUAUAUACAUAAUAAUUUAAUAAUAAUUAAACAAUAAAAAUUUUAGAUUUUUAUCAACAUUUGCCGCCUCAUUUAUGGUGAAUGGUAUAUUUUCCAUUUUGGUCCCCCUUUCUUUUUAUUAAUCUAAUUUAGCCCUUAAUAUUUAUAAUUUUACCAAUUUGAUUUUUAUUCUUUUUAGUUAAAUUUAAUUCUCUACCUAGUGUCAAAUUUGACUAUUGAUCUUUUAGAAAAUUGUCGAAUUAAUGUUUUGUUCUUUGCUUUCAAUUUGGUUCUGUUCUUAAGCAAAUUUCUGCUUUGUUUCUUCUCCAAGUCACGAGUCUUGUUGUUCAAGUCAUAGCUGAACUAGCUUGCUUGUUGUUCAUAACACCAACAACCUGUUCUCGGCUGGGUUGAUAACAGUAUCAUCGAUGAACCUCCGGAUUGCAUUCAUGAACAUUUUGCCAUCACCCAAGCUUGUAAGCAAUUCAAGAACACGAAAAGGUAAUUGAUUUUCCAACAAGAACAGAUCCGAGUACAAAAAUGUCAGUAAAUCAUUUUUAAUUAACAAAUUACCAUCAUCAUCAUCAUUAUCGUAACGCAUGUCAACUGCUUGUAAAUUUGCGCAGCCGUCAACGAUGAACAUCCAAGCCAGUUCCUCGUUAUCGUCUCUAUACUUCUCUAAUUCCUGUGGAUCAUAGCAUUCCUUCAAGCUAUCCAUCUCUUUCUUAAUUUUUCUGUACAAGGAUUUCUUAUCGACGCCAAUUUUUUUGACGAAAUGUGCUGCUAAUUUGAGGUUGAGCCCCUUGGAUUCACGGAGGGUGAGAUCAUCGUGGUGGAGUGGGCCGAUUGAGAUCACUUUCAGCUUGAAAUACUUCUUGAAAUCUUCGUUACGGAGAAGGGUUGAUGGGACUUUUUGUAUUAAUGGUUUGUAUCUAAGGGUGGGUUGGCCACCAAAAGCUUUGUCUAAUGACUGGAGCUUCGCUACUUCGCCAUCGCUGAGAGGGACGUCGGUGAACCACAUAUCAAUUCCCACGUAAUCGUUGUUGGUGUUGUUGUCGAUGAUUGUUUGAUUAGUGGAAACUGCUCCGGCGGCGCUGCCUCCUUCCUCCAUGGACGACAUUUUCAGGCUGACCGGCUCGAAGUAAUUAACAAGGUGAUUUUGAAAACUUGUUUUGGCUGAUUGAGUGAUGUUGGAAAAAAGGUGGCAAAAUGGCUACGAUGAUAACAAAUCUUCUAUAGCUUACAUAAAGAGGCGAAUAUAGGGGAAUGUAAAAUUGUUAUUUAGGCCCUUAAUAUUUUUUAAAAUUUUAAAUUAGUAAAAGUGAAAUUACAUUUUGGCCUUAUAAAAUUAUAAAAAUUCAAUUUAAUCUUUUAAAAAUUAUAAAGAUAUAGACUACAAAAAAUUAAAAUCUCAUUCGAUCCACCCUAAAAAAUUAUUCGGGCUUCGCCACUGCUUACAUAAUAAACAUAUGGAAAAUACUUUUGGUGUAAUUCAAAUUUACCCCUUAUAGUCAAUUUAAUUUUCAUUUUUUUAAUUUAAUUUUCUAUCUUUUGGAAGAGUUGAAUUUAACUAUCAAUUUAAAUUAAUAUUUUUUAACGAAAAUAGUGACUAAAAUAUUAAAAUAUUAAACAUGACAACUCAAACGGCAAUCCACAUCUAUAUGUUUUUUUUAUUUAUUUCUUAUUUUUAAAUUAUUUAUUGAUGUGACAUAUAAUAAAAGUAUUGUUAUAUUAGCAUGAAGUACACAUGGAAGGCCACACGAGUUGUGACACCAAUAUCGUUAAAAAUUAAUAUUUUAGUUAGCAUAUCUGUUAAAGAAAAGCAAAUGAACUCUUUUUUCAAAGGUUAAUGGCUAAAUUUAGCUCAAAUGAAAAAAAAAAAAGGCCAAUUUGAUAAAAAAGGUAAAUGUCAAGAGUUAAGUUUAACAUUUAUACAAGUACAAAUAUAUGUCUGGAUUAAUCUAGAAAGAACAAGACAAACUCUACAGGUGAUAUACAAAUGUGAUGAGAGUGGAACCUGCACAUCACAAUUGAGAAUAAUAUUAUAGAACCUAAAUACUCAAAAACCUAAAACCUUCCCCUUAACCAAGAAGCUAAGACGCCAUGGAUAAUUUUAUAUCUACAACACUUAUGAAUUUCAUAUGCUUAAUAAUAGUUUACAAAAAGACAAGUAAAGAACACUUACUUCGGUUGAUGUAUGGUAUAAUAAGUCUGCAAAGCACUAAGAGUAAGUGCAGCAAUGGCACCCAAAAAUGCUAAAAACGUCCAAGGACUCCUAAAAUAAGUAUGAUAACCUUGAGCUGCAUGAUUAAUCCACAUAGUCUUACAAUGAUUAUGUAUUUUCUCUUUAACCCCACUGUAAAUUGUCGGACUAGGAACCAAAUCAGUGUUCAUCUUAUUGAAAAGCUUAGCCAUUUCUUCAUCACUGCCCAAUCCAUUGUAUAGUAUGCCGGAGUCUCUAAGGUCUUUAACAUCUUCGGCUUCAUCGAUCAAUAAAUCAAGGAAACACAUAUAUGAAGUGACGGUGAAAUCGUUGUCGAAAUCCGGACACAUUUCGUAAGCUAUUAAGUUCAUGGUUGAAUCAUCGACGGAGAUCGGCGGUAACCGUAAUUUUCCGAAGAAGAAGAUAUGGUUGAAACUGAUGUCGGUUAAAUUACUUGUUUCGCUGGCUUCUAACCAUAUCCCGGCCUUUUUAAGCUCUUUUACGUUACCAAUGGUGCGUGAAUGGUACCGUUUUGUUCUUUUUCUUCUUGCUGCUGCUUUGCCAAAUCCGUGUCGAGUGAAUUCCCAAAGAAAACACCAGCACCGUAUUCGUACUUUUCUGAGAAGGAGUCUUUCUCGUAGUAGAUGCAAUAAGUGAAUUCGCUCUCCUUCUUUUUGCUGCUUCCACCACCAUUCCCUACACCAAAAUCUGUGUUAGUCGGAAGCCAAGCUACAAUUUCUCUUUUCUCUUUUCUUUUUUUCUUUUUUGUUGUUAAUACAAAAAUAUUAAAAAUCAAUCUAUACUUGUUAAUCAAGUUGGUUGAAUAAAAAAUUAAAUAAAAUUGAAGUUAUACCAAUUGAAUUAAAGAAUGGAAUAAAUUUCUUUUUAUAUUUUUAAUAUUUUUAAAAAUUUAUAUAAUUAAACUGAAUUAACUAAUCAAAUGGAAAAGAGAGUCUAAUAGAUUCCAUCACCUAUGUAGUUAUAAAAACCUUUUAACAUUUAUAAACUCCACAAAAAUGAUUCUUUAUUUAAUUCCCUAAAUUACCUGUCCUCGCCUGGGUUGAUAACAGUUUCGUCGAUGAACCUUUGGAUUGCAUUCAUGAACUUUUUGCCAUCCCCCGAGCUUGUAAGCAAUUCAAGAACACGAAAAGGUAAUUGGUUUUCCAACAAGAACAGAUCCGAGUACACAAAUGUCAGCAAAUCGUCUUUAAUAAACAAUUUACCAUCAUCAUCAUCAUCAUCAUCAUCACCGUAACGCCUGUAAACUGCUUGUAAAAUUGCGCAGCCGUCAACGAAGAAAAUCCAAGCCAGUUUCUCGUUAUCGUUGCUAUAGUUCUCUAAUCCCUUUGGAUCAUAGCAUUUCUUUAACUCAUCGAUCUCUGUCUUCAUGUUGUUGUACAAGGUAUCCUUAUCGACGCCAAUUUUUUUGACGAAAAGUGCUGCUAAUUUGAGCUUGAGCUUCUCGGAUUUAUGGAAGGUGGGAUCAUCGUGGUGGAGUGGGCCGAUUGAGAUCACUUUCGGCUUGAAAUACUUACUGAAAUCUUCGUGACGACCAAGGGUUGAUGGGACUCUUUGUAUCAAUGGUUUGGCACGGAGGUCGAUUUCGUCGCCGUCGAAAGCUUCGUCUAAUGACCGGAGAUUCACUACUUCGCCAACGCUGAGAGGGACGUCCAUAUCAAUGCUCACGGAAUCGUUGUUGUCGGUGAUUGUUUGAUCAGUGGGAGCUGCUCCGACGGCGCCGCCUCCUUCCUCCGUGGAGGACAUUUUCAGGCUGAGCGGUUGGAAGUAAUAAACAAGGUGAUUUUGUAAACUGUUUUUGGCAGAGUGAGUGAUGUUGGAGAAAAGGUAGCAAAGUGGAUAAGAUGAUGACAAAUAUUUUGUAGCUUACAUGAUAAACAUAUAUGGGAAAUACUUAAGGCGUUAGUGUUUAUAUUUUUACUAAUAUAAACAAUGAUAAAAAAGAAAAGUUAAAUAGUGACAAAUACUAAAAUUGAGAAUAAUAUUAUGGAACCUAAAUACUCAACACUACUCAAAACCUUCGCCUUUAACCAAGAAACUAAGACCCUAUCUGAGGGAGAAUUUUAUAUCUACAACACUUCCUAAAUUUCAUUAGCUUAAUAAUAGCUAUUCAAAUAUAUUUUUUCAUUUUAUUACUGACUUUAAUAUUUAAAUUAUCAUUAUAUUGCAUGAUUUAUUCCAAAUAUUUACAUAUAGUAAUUGCAUUUGUAAUUCUACCUAACUAUGAAAAAUCUCAAAUUUGCAACAUGUUAUUCACAUGCCAACCAACCAAUAUAUUAUUCCUACCAACCAAUUUAUCAUUCACAUUCCAACUUUCUAAAUCCAUCAAAUAUUUCAUAUUCAUGUACUAACAAAGAUCAUGCCAAGAACCCACAUGCAAAGUCAUUGUAUAGUACCACAUUUAACUCAAUCGGACUUUUACACAACUAAAGAUUACUCCAAACGUUUAUAUGCAUGUCACAAUCCUUCACUCAAAAUGAUAAAAAAAACUAUUAAAUUGACGAUAAAAUAGUUUAAGCUUCGACCGAUUCAACCGACGUGUUCUAGCAUAUAAUAUGUUUAGUAAGCUCAUAUGGAAACUAAAACUUACCUAGAUCAAUUGAACAUAAAAAAUUACUCAAUAAGCUAUCGAAUUAAUUUUUCCCUGACACUUAUAUACAUAUAGUACAUCUAAUAAAAUUUCUGUUAAAGAAAAGCAAUUUGACUCUUUUUCUAAAAAGUUAAUAACUAAAUUUAGCUCAAAUAAAAAAAAAGAAUAAAAGUCAAUUUGAUAAAAAAUAUAAAUAUUAAAAAUUAAAUUUAUCAUUAUAUCUUUUUUAAGUAAUUAUUUGUGGUGAGCCAUCAUGUCUGACGAUGAUUUUUAAAUACUGUAUUAAUUAUAUAUAGCACAUCAUAUUUCACUAUAAUUUCUAUAGACUUUUUAAACAUGGGGUUAAUUGUUUAUGGCCCAUUGCCCAUGUUGCUUUUAUUAAAUUUUGGGUGAACUUCUCAUUUUGGUCAAAAAAAAAUUGUAUUCUCAGUAUAAAACAAAAAACUAAUCUUUAAUGUUUAUGGCCAAACCCCACCUCUCCUAUCCUAUAAUAAUGGUUCUUGGCUUCUUCUAUCCUACACCUCAAUUAUUUGGAUUAGAUUGAAAAACAAUUGACACUUGAUUUGAUUGUGAAAUAAAGUUAAAUUUUAAAUUUAUAAUAUUUAAUUUGAGUGUGAAUGAAUUUUUGACUUAAUUGAAAAUUUAAAAUUUUAAGUUCGAGUCGUAUUUAAUUAUGUGUGUAUAUCGUGUAUAAAUUUUGUUCAAAUUUAUUUUGAUUUAAUUUUCAUACUAUAUAUUCUUAAUUAAAUUCGGAAUAUAUUUUGAUUAUCAAUUUAACCAUACAUUGUAACGAUGGAUUAAAAUUAUAGUUAAUUAUAUAUUGAAACUAAAUAAUUAGUUUAAGGAAUUAAAAGAUAUUAUUAUAUUUUAUAAAAUUUGAAUAGAUUCAUAAUUAAUUCGAGAUUAAAAAAUGGGAGAAGAAAAGCUAAAACCAAACCUUUUUUACGGUUGGAACUAAACCCCAUGCGGUGUGGAAAAUUGCAAGUUUCCAGAAUAUACCUACACUUACUAAUUAUAAUAAAUAUCUUUUACUUAGUAAUAAUAAAUAAUAAAUAUAUAUUUACUAAUUAAAUAUAAAUAUUACAAAUGUACAUAUAUUUUGUUUACAAUUGUACAAUAUCAUCACCAUCCAUUUGGCAAAUUUGAUUUGUUCAUAUAAUGUUAAUUUAUAACUAAUAUAAAUUACCGUAUAAUAAAAUAAUUAUGUACAUUAUAAUUUAAUAAUAAUUAAACAAUAAAAAUCUUAGAUUUUUUAUCAACAUUUGCCGCCUCAUUUAUGGUGAAUGGUAUAUCUCCCAUUUUGGUCCCCCUUUCUUUUUAUUAAUUCUUUUUCCUAAUUUCUCCUAAUUAAGCUAAAUUCACUUAAUUAAAUCCUAAUUAAACACACAACUAGCCUCACAAAUAUUCUUAAUAAAACAUUUACAAACUCGGUUUACUAAGACAGAAGCCCUAUAACUCACUUUUUCGGUGCCCGUGAAUUUUGGGCCAUUACACAUUCUUCCGUGGAUAACAUUUUUAGGCUGAGCGGUUCGAAGUAAUUACCAAGGUGAUUUUGUAAACUGUUUUUGGCUAAGUGAGUGAUGUUGGUGAAAAGGUGGCAAAAUGGCUACAAUGUUUCUAUAGCUUAUAUAUAAUGAACAUACGGAAAAUAUUUUUGUGUAAUAUCAAAUUUAGCCCUUAAUAUUUAUAAUUUUACCAAUUUGAUUCUUAUUCUUUUUAGUUAAAUUUAAUUCUCUACCUUUUGAAAGUGUCAAAUUUUCUUGGCUGGAAGCUCACUGCAUGGAAGCCAAAAUCAAAACAAACUUUUGAUGGUUUAAUUGUUUUUGAGCCCUUCAAUUUCAGGUGCUAUGAGAAAUGGAUUACAACCUCAUCUUGUCGUUAUCCCAAAAUCAAAACAAGCAACUCUUGGUUGAAAGUUGAAACCAAGGGCCAAGUCAAAAUUGUUUUAGGAUGAGUCCAAAAUGAAUAAUGAAUUUGAAGGUUCAAAAUAAAAUUUUAUUAAUAUAUAAAUUUAUAAUUUCAUAAAUUUUAAAAGGAUUAAAUGAUAAAUUUACUAAUUUAAGAAGACAAUAGGGAUGGUCAAAUAUUCUAAUUGAACCUAUCUGCGAUCGGAUCGGGAUGGAUUUUUUUAAUUAAAAAAAUUAAAUAGAUUGAAUCGAAAUUCUAGGAGUUACAAAAUUCUCAUAAAUAACAAGAGUUUACAAAAAGUACACUUACUUUGGUUGAUGUAUGGUAUAAUAAGCCUGCAAAGCACCGAUAAAAAGUGCACCAAUGGCACCCACAAAUGCGAAAAACGUCCAACGAGUCCUAAAAAAAGUACGGUAAACUUGAGCUGGAUAUGUAAUCCACAUAUUGUUAUGAUGAUCAUGUAUUUGCAGUUUAACAUGUCUGUAAAUCAUCAGACUAGGAACCAAAUCCAUGUUCAUCUUCUUGAUAAGCUUAGCCACUUCUUUAUCACUCCCAAAUCCAUGGUAUAGUAUGCCUGCGUCUCUCAGUUCCUUAACAUCUUCGGCUUCAUCGAUCAAUGAAUCAAGGAAACCCAUAUAUGAAGUGACGGUGAAAUUGUUGUAGAAAUCCGGACAAUUUCGUAAGCUAUUAAGUUCAUGGUUGAAUCAUCGACGGUGAGAGGCGGUAACCGUAAUUUUCCGACGAAGAAGUAAUGGUUGAAACUGAUGUCGGUUAAACAACUUGUUUCGCUUGCUUCUAACCAUAUCCCGGCGUUUUUAAGCUCUUUUACGUUACGAAACGGGUGUGAAUGGUGAGGUUUUAUUCUUGUAUGGUUUCUGCGAUUUGUGAAGGAUAUGCAAAACCUAGAAGGCCAUGGUUUUUCUUUUUUGAAAAGGAGUCUUACUCGUAGUAGAUGCAAUAAGUGAAUUGGCUCUUUAUUUUUUUCUUGCAGCUGCUGCCACCAUUCACUAGAGCAAAAUCUGUGUUAGUCGGGAGCAAGCUAAAAUUAAGGUUUUCAAUGGUUGAAUCAAAUCAUUAUUAUUUAAUAAAAAAUUAUUUAAAUUAUUAAAUUACAUUUUAAUCCUUUUAAAAAUUAUUAAAUUAUAAAUUUGUAUACAAUAAAAUUAUAUUUUGACUCCUCAAAAUGAAUAAAAAAUUGUUUAAACACUUUUAAAAAAUGAUGACAUCAUAAAUUAAUGCAAAAAAAAAAUCUAAGAAUUAAACCAAACUUGUCUAUCGGCCUAAUUAAACAGAGAAUCAAGCAAGGUACUAAUCCAGAAUAAUAAAUUAAAUCCAUUGAAUCUAAUCAUCAAAUCGAUUUUUUUUAUAUUUUUAAUAUAUCUUUAAUAUUUUUAAAAUUUUAUAUAAUUGAAUCGAAUAAACUAAUCAACCAAAAAUGAGACUCUAAUGGAUUGUAUCACCUAUAUAUGUAGUUGUAAAAAUCCUUUUAACAUUUAUAAACUCCACAAAUUGAUUCAUUUAUAAAUUCCUUAAAUUACCUGUCCUGCUGAUGUGAUUGUGGGUCUUUAACAGUGCCGUUGAUGAACCUUAUGAUUGCCUCCAUGAAUUUUGUGCCAUCCUUCGAUCUUGUAAGCAAUUCAAGAACACGAAAAGGUAAUUGGUUUUCCAACAAGAACAGAUCCGAGUACACAAAUGUUAGCAAUUCGUUUUUAAUAGAAAAUUCGUUCGACGUACGACAACGAUCUUGGCCGUAAAGCAUAUAAACUGCUUGUAAAAUUGCGCAGCCGUCAACGAAGAACAUCCAAGCCAGUUUCUCGUUAUCGUUGCUAUAGUUCUCUAAUCCCUUUGGAUCAUAGCAUUUCUUUAAGCCAUCGAUCUCUGUCUUCAUGUUGUUGUACAAGGUAUCCUUAUCGACGCCAAUUUUUUUAACGAAAAGUGCUGCUAAUUUGAGCUUGAGCUUCUCGGAUUUAUGGAGGGUGGCAUCAUCGUGGUAGAAUGGGCCGAUUGAGAUCACUUUCGGCUUGAAAUACUUACUGAAAUCUUCGUGACGACCAAGGGUUGAUGGGACUCUUUGUAUCAAUGGUUUGGCACCGAGGUCGAUUUCGUCGCCGUCGAAAGCUUCGUCUAAUGACCGGAGAUUCACUACUUCGCCAACGCUGAGAGGGACGUCCAUAUCAAUGCUCACGGAAUCGUUGUUGUCGGUGAUUGUUUGAUCAGUGGAAACUGCUCCGACGGCGCCGCCUC
Molecule: long non-coding RNA, 12363 nt
Filed under: Gossypium barbadense (sea-island cotton)
Lineage: Eukaryota; Viridiplantae; Streptophyta; Magnoliopsida; Malvales; Malvaceae
Description: long non-coding RNA (GBAR_LNC021312)
Source: RNAcentral